CUGGGAGCCACAAGUAAGCCAGCAUCCUGAGAGCAAAGUGCUCUGUUGGCUAAUACAGUACUGUGAGGUCAUUAAAAACUUAAUAUCCUUAUAGUAUUGUUUUUUGCAUAAUUAAUACAUAUAUCUUCAGAAGUUCCAUCCAUCCAUUGUCUUUGACUUAUCUUCAUCAGGGUCACACGGAGGCUGGAGCCUAUCCAGUAUGUUGCAGGGCUCUGCAGACAUUGCUACUGACAAUUUUACAGAAAUGUUUAAUAACAGCUUUUCAGAUUUGUUAACUGCACAUUAAUGCAUUAUAAAAGACAGGCUUGAAAUCUAAUACUAUAGAAGGCUCUAUGCACAUGCAGGGGUAACCAAAUGUGCAUGCAGGGACUCUGAGUUUUUCUGUUUUGUCUUGUUUUGUUUUUUUGACGUGUGUGUUUUUUCAUUUGUUUCCUUUUUUACUCACCUUUUAUUAUCACUUUAACUUUUUAGUAAAUGUAGGCACUUAAAAAUUACUUAGACAGAUUUAGGAAAAAGAUCACGGCUCCCCGUGAUUAAAGUUUAAUCCUUUCAAAACAGGAAUUGUGCUUGAUGACAGAUGACAAGUUGGAGGUGACAUAUCAUUUUCAAUAAUGCCGUAACCCAGUGCAUCACUGUGCAGAUACAAUGACACACCUAAAAAAGCAAAAAUGCAACCAGUUAACUGCAUUUUCAUUGUUGUGGUAUUUUUUGAUUAAUUUAUUAAAAUCAAAAUAAAAUUGCAAAGUGAUGAUAGAGACCAUAAAUGGAUAAAAACAUAUAAAAAGUAUGUUUCUGAUUUUAAAGUAAACUUGAUCAUAAAUUUACAGUUACUGUGGUUUUCUUUGCACUGCUGUCCUUAGCUGUUGUAAAAGCAGAUCCUCUGCCUCCUUUAAAAUUCUUAGUGUUUUUAGUUAUUUUACCAUGUAAUAUUCAGUUGAUAGUCAUUGUCACACACCUAACUGAAGCUAAUUAAAAAAGUUCACAGUUACACAUGGCUUAAUUGGAAAUGCAGAGCAGAAACACAGUUUCCAUUCCAUUCAUAACUUUGGUCAAAUUCCUUUUGGAGGUAUUUUAAACUGCCUGUAGUAUUGAUGCAUAUAGUUAAAUAGCAAAGGAUUAUAAUUACAGAAACAGGCAGCAGUUUUUCUGGAUUGUGUUUGGUGUUUUAUGUUUUUUUUUUUCUUAUUAUUUUAACUUGCAUUUGUGCAUGCUGUGAUGACGUGUUCUCCUGAGCACACAUAUUAAUUUCCUUUGUAAAAUUAUUUGUAGAAUUUUCUAUUUUUAGUGGAGUGCCUCUGAAUGUGGUACUGUAGAUGAUGACAUUUCUCUAGGAUGUUCCUCUGAUGCCAGGUCAUGAUGCCAGUUAUCGUAAGAGUAAAAGUUUUUUAAGCAUUACAAACUCCCUUUAGCCCUCUCCCUAAUUUUUUUGAAACAUUUUGCUGGCAUGAAAUUCAAAGCCAGUUUUAAUUUUUCACAUAUUUCUCAAUGUCAUAAUUUAAUAUGUUGUCUUUUUUUUUACUCUCUGCUCUACUAAAGUAGUGUUGCAGGAUUCAGUUCAAAAUAAUUCUUAAUUAUGUUAUAAUUACAACCCUGCAAUUUACUGACUGUGUGAAACCAGGUGCUUUAGACUUCUUUUUCUUUCUGAUUGGUUGCCUCCAUAAAUACAGCUGUCAAUAGCAGAUGCAGUGGCUUGUGUCCUCACAGCCAGGGCUGUGUUGCUGUGAUGACCAGGUUAGGGAUAUGUGUUUCCAAAGACAUUGCACAAAUAUUUUUAAAAAAAGAAGAACGAGAAGAAGUCAAA
Molecule: long non-coding RNA, 1801 nt
Organism: Astatotilapia calliptera (eastern happy)
Lineage: Eukaryota; Metazoa; Chordata; Actinopteri; Cichliformes; Cichlidae
Source: Ensembl